GGCUGUGCGGUUGAUUUGGCUGGUCUGGCUGGCAAGGUGUAUGUGCCCUACCUCCCUCAUGGCUCCACACUCAUUCCUCCUCAAGAUCUGAGCUUAGCUGGUUGAAGAAGACAGCUUUCCCAGUUAUAGGUGGAUGGCCUCCCACCAUAGAGGAGGACUAUGUUUAGGUCAAAGGUAGCCACAAUCCCUGAUAGACCCUCCUAGUGAGCUCUCUAAGGGUGUCAAAAAGCACUAUGCAAAUGAUAUUAUAAUGAAGCCAAGGUCUCCUGAGAGUACAGCU
Molecule: small RNA, 280 nt
Filed under: Mus pahari (shrew mouse)
Lineage: Eukaryota; Metazoa; Chordata; Mammalia; Rodentia; Muridae
Description: sRNA (MGP_PahariEiJ_G0008071.1)
Rfam family: 7SK RNA
About the family: 7SK was discovered as an abundant small nuclear RNA in the mid-70s but a possible function has only recently been suggested. Two independent studies have found that 7SK RNA binds the CDK9/cyclin T complex (known as elongation factor P-TEFb). P-TEFb activates transcription by phosphorylating the C-terminal domain of RNA polymerase II.
Source: RNAcentral